UUCCUCUGUACAUUCCACAGUUCCCUACCCAGUGUCUUGUGGAGAGCAUGCGCCCAGUAAGGACCCAUAACAUUUCUCCUGAUUAAAGCUGCUGAAGCCGAACUGAUCUAAACCUCAUGUUCUCUGGAGAGCAGGAAGUGAACAAUAGCCCGAGUGCAGUCCUGAUGGGGACAGAGAAAUAAAAGAUCCUUGAGGAAGGCCGCCAGUUUAUAAACUAUCCUCAUGGAGAGCAAGAUGAGGUCUUAAGAAGAUCUCUGCUUUUAUCUGUGUGGGGAAUGACAAAGAUCUCCUUCUCUCAAUGCACAUCUGUCCCUUCUGUGCACCUUAGUCUCAGAGAUGUGCCCAGGGAAUUGAGAAGGUGGGAAAUGUUUCCAGCACCUCAGAGCCACUAGGUGUUGGAACUUGAACCUGGGUCUCCAACACUCUUCUCUGUUGUAGGUGAAUCCUUUGAGAACAGUGCUGAGCACAGGACUUUCCUGCUCCCCACUCAGGAAACCCCAACUCCUUAACCUGGCUUUUAAGAUAGGCCUUCCACGUCUGGUCACAAAUUAUUGAUCACAUAUUAGCUCAUGUUAUUUUGAGGUUUUCUCUUUCAGGUAUUCUAGACUAAAUACUGAGCUGCUUGUCAUUUCUUGAA
Long non-coding RNA from Antechinus flavipes (yellow-footed antechinus), 637 nucleotides. RefSeq lists it as uncharacterized. Lineage: Eukaryota; Metazoa; Chordata; Mammalia; Dasyuromorphia; Dasyuridae. The record is from RefSeq and is a predicted model, not a curated record. The transcript has 3 exons.